This 5003-nucleotide long non-coding RNA is filed under the name Canis lupus familiaris (dog). RNAcentral's name for it is "lncRNA (ENSCAFG00845013393.1)". The record is from RNAcentral. Lineage: Eukaryota; Metazoa; Chordata; Mammalia; Carnivora; Canidae.
AAAAUGUUUACACCCUUCUUACAAUACAACAAAUUUUGUAGUGAUUUUGCAUGUUAUACUCUAUAAAAGUUCAUCAUCGAAUAUCCGAGCUAAAACGAUAUAGUUUUAAAAGUAUGCCAAAUCUACCACUGUCUGCAAACUACCUACUACCAGCAAUAAGUACAAAAAGAAAAGUCUUAUUAACAAAAAUCAAAAGAUCUAGUUUUCGUUUGUCAGCAUCUACAAACAAUACAGACAUCAUAUGGUUUACAUGUAGACUUAGGUCCAGCCCAAGGUAAAGACUGCAAAAAUAAAGUCUUUGACAUCCACACGAGCUUGGCCAUCCCCAUUACAAUAUUCCAUCACAGGUGAUUAAGCGAUGCGUCAUGCAGUGAAGCCACGGCUAUAAAUUUGGGCUGUUUAUAGUGCUACAAAGCGGCCUAAACUGUAAGCAACUUAAUGGUAUUUUUUUUUUUUUUCCAGAAUAGAUGCUAUCAUAAAAAGGCACAAAUAUCUUACUCCUUGCAUCGGGUCUUGUUAAAAGGCAUGACAUUCUUAGGAGAAAUAAGGAUUGCUGGUACGACAGCUUAGCUUUUAUUUAUUUAUUUGUAAAUGUCUAGGCUCAUCUCCACAGCUGCUUCUCUUCCAAGACUUUAAACUUGUGUUUUUUACAUACUUCAACAGGUGCUCUGUUGCACAUCGAGCAACGUCUUGACGCUUAAACUAUCUCAUCACCGACUCUGAAACCCCUUCUGUCAGUCAUGUUGCCACCGACAGCCAGGGCUGCCUGUUUCCUCGCUGGGAAGAGGGGAGCUCCUCACCUAAAAUUAGCUUUUGCAUCUCCCGACAGCGCUCACGCUCACGGGUGGUGACUCCACCGCUGCCGCCUUGGAAGGCGGGGUGGAAAGGGACGUCACACGCACUGAGGGGGCUGGUGCUGUGCGUCUUUAAGGGAGAGUCCAUGGCAAAAUGAGAAGAAGAGAAAUAAGGCAAGGAGGCUGUUUCGAUCACAGAGAAGGCAAGACAUCAAUUCUUUUUUUUUUUUUUUUUUUUUUUUUUUUUUUUUUUUUUUUAAGACAUCAAUUCUUAAGAAGGUCAGAGGCAUGAUUGACAAUUACGUGAAUGACUCAUAAGGUGAAAUGAUGCAAAGACUGAGCAGGAUGAGAGUAAAAAAAGAAAAAUCUUUUCCAGGCCAAUACAGCUCUGUCUACACGAGACAACAAAUGGUUUAAAAAUAGAGCCACCAAUCAGUUGCUCUGACUAGCCAGCUGCCGAUAACUCCCUCCGCCUGCACCGAAUCGACCCGUCACUCUGACAUCACGUGCAUGGCCCAUAUUAAGAAAAAGUUCCAUAAACUAUGUAAUAACCUCCUAUGCAAAGUCAGCAGAGGUACACAAACUUCAGCCUUGCUUUCAACAUUUUUCAGGGGGUAACACUGACUAUUUAAGCACAAAUUUGAUGGAAAAAUGGAUAAGGGACAAAUGACAGGAGAACGAGGCCCCGAGGUGAAGUCACCGGCUGCCACGGGCCGGACAAUGUUCCCGACUGGGCUCUGGACUCGCCCUGGGGAAGGGGGUGUGCUCCGCUUCUCCACAACCUGACUGAAGAGGUCAUGGGAGUUUCCUGGGCAAUUUCAGUUCUGAGCAAAGACUAUCGGCCCUCUGUGCAAUCUGCUAUUUUAAAGAUGAUUUUCUUCACAGUCCUUUAUUAGACAAUCUGCUUCCAGAAACGAUGAAAUGUUCCUGAAUCAAGAAGUGGCAUCAAAACCAGCAUGUUUUGUUUCUGUUGAGUGAUUAAGGAGAACAUUAAGAUCUACAGUUUAAAAAUACCAAUUAAAGAAGGUUUUUUCAAACGACCAUUACUAUCUUAGGGUUUCCCAUUAAUUAGCUGAAUUCUGGGCACUUGAAUUCCUGUUCAUGGAAAGCUACCCAGAAUUUGGUUUGCUUCAUUUAUGAAGCGUUUUGAUGAGAUUCUGGGCACCAUACAGAUUUGAAAACGAGCUCGUAAUAAACUAAAUACUUUUUUUCUUAAAUUUGUUACGACUCCAUGGUUUUAAUUCAGUAUCUGCUGAUGACACAUCCUCAUCUUACUAUUUAAAAUGUUCAACGUAAUAAAAGAAGAUGGAAGGUUUAAAAUUUUUCUUUUUAUUAAACUUCUGAAUCCUUUUGUUGUGAAGCCAAAAAUAUCCUAGCAUCUAUAAUUGAUUAUACUCUAAAAGGAAAGAACACAGAUAUUAGUUAUUUCUGAUGGUGCAGACCAUCAAAUUAAAGUUGAUCUAUGCUACUGGAAAGUCCUUCUAGAUUUGGAAAGUAAAUCAUUUUCCUAUAUACUCAGAGCAUCCUGAAGGACAAACCGAGAAAUAUGGGGAUUCUUGGUUUUAUUUAUUCACUUUCUUCAUUAUGUCUAAUGAAACUUCAUCACGCCAGGUCUCCCUUAUCAUUCUCUUAGAUUGAAAAAGUGGAGGCUCCUGAAAAAUGUAAUACCCUUCUAAUAUUUUUUAGACUUUCAUUUGCACAUAAAACAGGACAAAUGCCCCAGAAUUCCAUUAAUGUUUCUUGCAAAUCAGAUAAUCAAAUUGCCCGGAUUUCUAUUACUGGAAGUCAAGACAAGUAACUCUGCUGUCAAGAGAAAUUGGCAGAGGUCGUUUCUUCCACACCUAGACUAGAUUUUCACCCGACCUCCCUUUUCUAAAAUUAUGCAGUAUAAUGUGUAUCUCCUGGACAGAUCUGUUCCUUGGACUGGAUUUUUUUUUAUUUUUUAAUUUUUUAUGAUUGUGCUGCAGGAGUUAAGAUAAGUCUCCUAAGCAUCAUCUUGAAUCGUUGAACUUCUCAUGCAUCAAGCUAAUUGAAGGCAGGCAUAUAUAGUCAUAGCUUGAUUCUUAAAAGUACAUUCCACUUCUUCUUUAAAAAUACAUUAACCGUUAAGAGGUAGACUCUCCCUUGAAGUCAAACAGUAAACAGAAGUUAUGCUGCUAGUCCCUUUAAAACAAAUUUAAAUGAGGAAGAGUUUUCUACAAGUUUACACCAUCUAGCUUAUCGUGGUCAUUAACUUUCAUCACAGAGUCAGGAAGAACAUUUACAGAUUACAGAGUUGAGAGAAGAGAGCCAGCCUGAGCGUGUGGGCUGUCAUCCCCCCUACAACAUUUUAAAGCAGGUACCUCGUAGAUACCAGAGUUAAGGGACUCUCGGUAACUUUUCCUCAGAAGGAGAGGAUUCUCUCACUACUUAGAGAGACAGGCUCUUGCAAAGACAUCUGAAUGUGUAGGGGCUCAUGUGUCAUAUAUAACAUACUGUGAACCUAUAUCUUAUACAACCAUGAGGCCAUGAAUCAUGUUCUCAGCGUGUUCUGAACAAAAUGAGUGGAAAAGAAGGCUUGUAAGAAUUUAUAUAACCUCUUUUUUGCAACUCACCCACAGACUAUAAAAGAUGCAUCUAACAGUGAACAAAUGCCUUUUCAAGUCCUGAGGCUGACAUGCCAAUUAGUGCAGUGUAAUCUGAAUCAAACCUGUCCAUUUUAACACAUUGCCGAGAAGGUACCGAGAUUCUGGUUUGACAUCUCCAGGAAAGCCAUGGAGCAGUUAUCUAAAGGACAUUUUCAUUACUAUUAUCUCCCAGAGCUUAAUUUAGAAGGUCUCCUAGACCUGUUUUCCUUCUUAAGGGGGGAGAGUGUGUGAGAGAGAGAGACAGAGAGAGAGAGAGAAAACAAGACUUAAAGAGAAGUUCUAAAAUUAUGUGUGGCCUGCCUUCCUUUUAUAUACUUAAAAAAUAACGAAAAAUGAUCGCCUUGAGAAGGGCAACAGCCCACUCCAUGGAGGAGGUCAAGCCUCUAAUACAAAAGGCUCCGUCCUUUGGAUACAGGAGGCAUCCGCUUCAAACAAAAUCAUAAACAGGCAACAAGGAAGUGUGUUAUUUUAAAGGGACUCACUCUCUCAGCUGCUAUGUAUAGCACUUAUCCUGCCUGUGGCAGAAAAGCAGGUGAUGGAGGUUUCAUUUGGAACCAGAAGGGCUUGCAAUAGGUACUUCUCCCUAAUCACUUCUUUAAGAGAGUUUAAAAUGAAGGACACUUAAUCAUACUCUUACUUUAUGUUCUUUUAAUCACCAAAUGAUGGUUAAUUAGUUAUCAUAGAAUCGGAAAAACACUUGUGUGAAAGGAGAGUUCUGGAGGCUGAUGGUUUGUAGGACUGGGCACCUGCAAAGAGCUCAUUUCAAUUUCUCUGAGAGGAAUCAAUAUACACUUGCAGCUAAUUAAUGAUUUUUCUCUUUUCAAUCCCCAAAGUUUUUUAAGAUGGUCCUUUGUCAGAAGGGAACUAAAAGGAUUUUUUAUAGAUGGGCUGUGUCUCAAUUCCUUUGAAAUCUAGCUUUUUCCCCUAAGAAAUGACUGAGAAUAUAUGACAUGUGGAUUAGAUCACUGCCUGGCCAGGUUGCUAAUCCUAAACACGUUCAAAGUAAAACACUGUUUCUGCCUUCAACAUCAACCUUUGCAGCACACAAGUGAACAAAAAAAAUGGAAACAUUUCCCCCUAUUUUCCUGGGGUACGGAUCACAUGGAUCUGAGAUGACAAUGUGCUGCUGCUAGUGGUAAGGAGACGCUACAUGAGCAGCAGGGUCUCGCUGAUUCCUGAGACAGUCUGAGGAAAACGAGGGCCCAAGAGGCCCCAGUACAUGGGAAGACAGCACCGUUGCACGAGCCACCUGUCAUUCAUUCUGGGCCUAAAACACGUGGCCAGAACCAAACAGAAGCCCUCGCUACAAACAGGGAGGAGCGUGAGAAGUCGUGAAUAGAGAACAGCUACGGAGGGCCUGAAGCGAUGGCCUGUUUUGGGCUAAACUCAGUGACCGUGGGGACAGGCCGAGAGGCAGGCGGAUGCCUCACCAGUACGAGGAGGCACGGAAGCAUGCGGCCUUCCCCGGGCACCCAGACACCAGGGAAUCAUUGACAGUGGCGACAGGUUUGGUGGGAAAACUGUGAAGGUCACAGAUGUGCGUCAUCUUUUGGUGAAAUAAGACAGAAAGGGCCGCCCAUGC